Ornithodoros turicata is the source of this 686-nucleotide long non-coding RNA. RefSeq lists it as uncharacterized. The record is from RefSeq and is a predicted model, not a curated record. The transcript is spliced from 2 exons. Lineage: Eukaryota; Metazoa; Arthropoda; Arachnida; Ixodida; Argasidae.
CAGAAAGGAAGGGCAAAUCAGUUCCACUGCUGGCCACCAUCAGACGCAGGCGUCGUUCUUCAGAAGAGCCUGACGUCACUUCCUCCAACACGCCGUCUCCUUCCGAAGCAGCAGCCACGCAUUUGAUCAGCAGCUACUUCGCCGCCGUCAGGACAUUGGACUCCCGGAAGUGCAUCUUCAAGAUGAUCUGCUUCGUUGGCGCCAACGACAAGGCCUUCGGUCGCUACGGGGCCAGUCUUUCGUCCUUCUUUGGAGGGUUGAGCACCAUGUUGAGGAUCGACGAAAUCACAUCCGGCUACAGUCGAGCUUUCGAGGUUGGUCGAACCCACGGGACUGAAGGUUGCACCAUCAAGUACAACACCUGCCCCAUGAGGAUAAUCAACUUGAUCACCUUGGCUACCAACUUCGGAUAAGCCUAGCCCCCGUGCGAAGAGUGUCCUAGUGCAUGUAUAUAUAGAUAUACUAUAUCGAUGCUAUCGAUAUGAUACAGAUGCAUUGAUAUAGUAGGAGAGUAAGCAUGUGUCAUGCGAUAGCAUUUUUUAAAAGAAAAAUAGGGUGGUGAUAAAAAAAUUCUAGGUGGUGUUAUUUAUUGCCGGUGCACGGACGGCGCUAGUUGCUGCAAUGCUUAAGAAUAAGGAGAGUACAUGUAGAUAAGAUAGUGUGCAAUUGUAAUAAAUAGUUGUUUU